Long non-coding RNA from Chelonia mydas (Green sea turtle), 101 nucleotides. RefSeq lists it as uncharacterized. Lineage: Eukaryota; Metazoa; Chordata; Testudines; Cheloniidae. The record is from RefSeq and is a predicted model, not a curated record. The transcript has 3 exons.
AAAAUUGCUUACUUUGUCAUUUUCACCAUAUAGUUAUAAAGUGACUCAAAUGGAAUACAAAUACUGUGCUUACAUUUCAGUCUGGUUUUCACUUGUGAUCC